GUGCUUGCUUCGGCAGUACAUGUACUAAAAUUGGAACGAUACGGAAAAGAUUAGCAUGGCCCCUGCGCAAGGAUGACACGGAAAUUCGCGAAGUGUUCCAUAUUUUU
Molecule: small nuclear RNA, 107 nt
Organism: Sapajus apella (tufted capuchin)
Lineage: Eukaryota; Metazoa; Chordata; Mammalia; Primates; Cebidae
Source: RefSeq, a predicted model, not a curated record